GGGGCGGUCAGGCUGCGCAGAGAGGCUACAGCGGCAGAGGGAGCACGUCUCAGUGACCUGAAUUAAUCUAAUGAGACUUUAUUUGGCUUAAAUAUUAGCUCAGGGCAGCUUUUUAAAGCACGUGAGGAAGACAGCAAAAGGCUAUUUAAGCAGAGAAGAUAUUAAAGUUGCUCUAGUAAUGUUUUUUUGUUAGAAACCCUCAAAGGUGUAUACUUUUUCAUCUAUGUUCUGAAGAUCCAGAUGUCUCACAGAAUACCUACAGAUUCUAAAGUAAUCUUCUUAUCUGCAGAUAUUUAUUUCAGAAGAAAAUAAUCAAACCCCUGCUUCUCCUGCUGCAGAGGGUGAUGAGGAGAAGGAUGUACUCUAUUUCAUAUGUGUACAAGACAUGAAAUAAAUGACUCACUGAGCUUGUUA
Molecule: long non-coding RNA, 414 nt
Organism: Pseudopipra pipra
Lineage: Eukaryota; Metazoa; Chordata; Aves; Passeriformes; Pipridae
Exons: 2
Source: RefSeq, a predicted model, not a curated record